AGUAUAUUGAGAUCUAUAGGUAUGCAGAAGUCCCUUUUGAGGAUUUAGCUGAUUAUUGAUUCUGAAAGCUAAUUUAUUUGAACAAAUCUAUGAAUUCAAGAUAACAGAAGUCACUUCUGUUUUAGUGAUUUUUGGUAUAUAGGUCUUGACAAGAAGGAGGAAGAAAAAUGGGAGUUGAUUUUCUAAUGUCAAAUAAAAUUUAUAAAUUAAGGCAGAUUUAUGUAGGCCAAUAUGAAUAAAUAUUUAAGUGGGCUCUAUGAAUUGGCAACAAAGUAGACAAAAUUUAUUAGGAUAAAAUUGACUUAGCAUUGGUUUGUGUUCAAUAUGUCAGCAUUUGAAAGGAGGAAAAGCAUUAAGUUAGUUCCUCACUUCUUUUAUUUUAAUGGCAUGAUAAUUACAGAGAACAGUUACCGAUAAAUAAGAAUUUGACACUCUUAUGAUGAAUUCAUGUGUUGGGACAGACUUUUUUCAUUUAUUCCUAAAAUCCAUUUUAAUCUCUAAUUUUAUUAACACAAAAUAUUUUUUUCAUUUGUUACUUGCCUUACCUGUUUCUCUUUGCCAAUAUAGAAAGAGUGCAACUUGCCUCAUUAUACCGGUUACUAGAGUAUUAAUGCUGCUGGGAAGGGAGAAGGAAAGGGAAAGAUGCACCAAUCCCUGGCCCUUUUUUUUUUUUUCUUUUUGAGACAGCGUCUCACUAUGCAGCCCAGGCUGGCCUAGAACUCAAGGGAUCCUUCUGCUUCAGCCUCCUGAACACUGGGAUUACAGGUUGCUGCUGCUUUUGCUAAGAGAACAUCCAUGACUCUGAUGGUGCUUUCAUUCAACAUAAAGUGCUUUAUUUCCUUUAUUGAUUGACUGAACAAAUUCAGGCCUGUGGAAACAUCAUGGUGGAAGGGCAUGUUGGAGGAAAGCUGCUUACUUUAUGGCAGUCAGGAAGCAGACAAAAAAGCAAAGAGCUGCAAACAAGAUACAGUCCCCAAGGCAUAACCUCAGUGAUUUUCAUUAAACUGGGCCCCACCUCCUGGCAGCCCAUGCAGCUGUGAACUCAUCAAUGGGUUAAUCCUAUUGAUGAGGUUAGUGCCUUCAUGAUCCUAAUCAUCUUUCUAGACCCCACCUCUGAACAGUGUGACAUUGGAGAUCAACCUUCAAUACAUGAAUCUUUGAGAGAUACUUCAUAUUCAAAUCAUAGCAGAAUUUUAGUUUAAAAUCUAUCCUAAAAUGGUGGGUUAUAUUUUAUUUUAUAGGACUUCAUUUACAAAAGGUAUUAACAGGUAUAAUUAGUUCAGAACUCAUAAUUUGUUUUAUUUCUUGGCCUAGAAAAUUAGUGAUAAAAUUUAUUCAAGAUACUAUUCCAUAAGUAUAAAAAUAAGAUUCAAAUGUAUAAUUAUUUACUUUGCAGUAUUUGAUGAAUAAGCACAUUAUAAGAACUUGCAAUUUGUAUAGAUUAAAGUGGUUUGAUUUAUACAGAUUUUUGAGAGAAGAAAGUAUACCACUUUGCUGUGCUUUUUCCUCCUGAAACAUCAUCUACUCACCUAUUACAACAGCUUCAUCCUGAUUGUCUAAAAAUCUUUUAGCCUUUUAUGACAAAGAUAAAUGAUAGAUAUUGGGAGACAUUUCUCUUGAGUCUUACGGGUUUCCUGUGUUUCUGCAUAUCUGUUUAGCAGAAGCAUUGACAGCUUUUGUUAGUGGCUGUUUUUUUUUUCAAGAAAAUCUGACAGAGCAUCUCUGUCAGGACAGAGGAUGGAUUUCUUUGCUGUCCAGUAUAAUUAAGAUAAUUCCUCUGGGAAAAAGGUUGAGCAUAUUUGCUUACAGUUCCAUUAAAUAAUUGGAGUUUCAUAAGCUCAGGUUUCUUGUCCUGUAAUGAAAUCCAUUGUGUGUACAGCUAUCAUUUUAUUCUCAUUCCAUUGACCCUUAGGAAUUAGAGCUUGGGGAGCCAGUGCAUGAUAUUUUUGGUUACUCUUAUUGUUGUGAAUAUAGUAAACUAUUCUUUAGUUUGGACCUAGGAGCAUCAUGUCACCUGCCACAAUUAUUUGGUGUUAGCUUAGCAAACAUCACCAAUACAUCCUGUUGAUAUUUUAAAAAAGCUGUUUGUUGCUUAUUGUGGUAAGGGAGAGGGAGAGUAACACCUCCUUGACAGACCUUCAGUAAUGCUGUAAAGGAGCAAAGUCAAAAUUUAACUGGGAGAAAACAAGGAUUUUUAUUUCUCUACAUACAAUAAAAAGUCAAAACUAUAUUCCAGAGUGUGCUGGGAAUUACUCACUACUUGAAGUUAAGGAUUUUCCUGUAUGUAGCACUUUAGUUAGACAAAGUGUAACAACUUUUUACAGUGAACAUUAGGCAAUUGGAAGCCUAUCCUUAGAUGUCGUAAACAAUAAUGAUUGACUGACUUACUUUAGAAGAUAUACUUGAAUAUGGUUUGCAGUAAUCCUGUAGCAGUACCUGAAAUGAAGGGGACAAAAUGUAGAGACUACAUAGGUAAUUAUAAUCUUUUUUUUUGGUACCGGGGAUCGAACUCGGGUCCUUGAGCUUGCGUAGCAGGCGGCGAAACCUCUGAGCUAAAUCCCCGGCCUGGUAAUUAUAAUCUUAAUAGUAAAAGGCGUGGGUCAUAUUUUCUAUUCACAUUUCCAUUGUUCGAUGAAAAGGAGAAUGUUUUUACUUUUUUUUUUUUUUUUUUUUUGGGUACUGGGGAUCGAACUUGGGUCCUUGUGCUUGCGCAGCAGGCGAAACCACUGAGCUAAAUCCCUGGCCCUUACUGUGUAUUCUUAAUGUUCAAGUUACCUGUCCUCAGAAAGAAAAACUUGACCUUUUGUGAUGGGCCAUUUUGAUGAUUCCUAGGAAAGCUGGUUUUGUUGUUGUUUUUUUGUUUUUAAAAUGGGGAGAUAGGGGAAGCUGAUCAGGUUUGAAUGAAGCUCAAGUUUCUUUGCAGUUUUUCUUCCUUGUUUUAGAUUUUCAGUUGGUGUACUGAUUUUAUCUAUAAAAUAAAGUUACUUCAACUUGUAAAAAGUGUUUCGUAGUUUCAGAAAAUUGAGUCCUGGAAAAGAUUAAAAAGUAGUGUAUGGGUGUGUAUGCUUUCUUACAGUCUGUAGUCUUCACAUUCUACGUUGUGUGAGAGAAGAAAAAUCAUACUGAACACAUUUUUUUUUUUUUUGAGCAUUGUCUUACUUUUCUCUUGUUGCUGAGACAAAACACUUGGCACUAAAGUUAAAGAGGGAAAGGUUUAUUUAGCUCACAGUUUGUAGAGGUUUUAGUUCAUAAUCAGCUGGCUCCAAGGCAAGGUGACCUGACAGACAGGCAUCACAGAGGAGAAAUAGUUCAUGGAGGGCAGAAGGUAGCAAAGUAAGCAAGGAAUGACCACAGCUCUUUCUAUCCCUUAUAUCUUAUCAGGAGUACUUAGGGCAGGUAGCACUCAAACCCUUAAUCCUAGUGCCCUUGAUCCAGCAUUGCACCAUGAAUCAGUUCAAACAUAGUGCUCUACAUCCAGCCACCCCUGAAAAAGCCCCAUUUGUGACUGCAUGAGGCUUUGUGGGGACAUCUAGACACAAGCCAUAACAAGCAUCUAUACUGAAUUAAUGUAUUACUGUGCAAGUUGUCUGGUUGAAAAUUUUUUUUAAAAGUUGAUUUUAUUUCUUGGAGCAGUUUUAAGUUUACAGAACAAUUGGAAUAGAAGACACACAGUUUCCAUAUGCAUACUUCCAUGUAUCCUACAACACUGUUAUAAUUGCUUCUUACCUCUGGAGUUUGUUAGUUAUUUCCUUGUGGGAUUUUCUGUAUAGAUGAUCAUAUCAUCUGUAAGAUGUUUUGAUAAAGCUAUGGACAGUUUUUUUCUUCUCAAUGUAUACCUUUUUUUUUUUUUUGGUACCAGGGAUUGAACUCAGUGUAUACCUUUUAUUAUCUUUUUCUUCGUCUUAUUGCAUUGACUGGGAUGUUUAGUAUGACGUUGAAUAGAAAUGGGAAUAAGAAUAAGGGAAUCCUUGUUUUAUUCCUGAUCUUAAGUAUGAUGUUUGCUAUAGUUGUUUUGUAGAUAUUCUCUAUCAAGUUAAAGAAGUUUUCCUGUAUUCCUAGUUUCCUACUUUUUUUUUUGUACUGGGGAAUUGAACUCGGGUCCUUGUAUUUACGCAGCAGUUGUCAAAACCACUGAGCUAAAUCCCUGGCUCUAGAAAGGAAGGCGUAGAAGCUUUUUUGUUUUUGGUACUAGGGAUCAAACCCGGGACCUUGUGCUUGUGAGGCAGGUGGUGGAACCACUGAGCUAAAUCCCUGGCCCUAGUUUCCUACUUUUUAAUCAUGAAUGGUCAUUGAAUUUUAUCAGAUAAAUUUUUUAUAAAUCUAUUGAUGUGACCAUACAAUUUUUCCUGUUUCCUGGAUUACAUUAAUUGAUUUCCACAUGUUGAACCUGUUUAUAUACUUGGAAUAAAUCUAACUUGUUUGUGGUAUAUAAUUUGAUUUGCUAAUAUUUUUGAGGACCUUUGCGUCUAUGUUCAUGAGACAAAAUGGUGUGUUGGACUCUUUAUUCUUUUUUCUUUGCUUACUUUGAAUGUAAUUUUUUCUACUUUUCUAAGGUAGAAGCUUAGAUUAUUUCUUCUUUCUUUAAAUAUUUACUUAUUUUGCAUUACUGUGGAUUGAACUAAGGAAGCACUAAACUAUGUCCCCCACACUUUUUAAAUUUUGAGACAGGAUCUUUCUACCUUGUCAGGGUUGGCCUUGUGUGCUGUGUUUGAGAUCCUUUGACCUAAUCUUCCUGAGUAGCUGGAUUAUAGUUUUUGUUUUUCAGUGCAAGCAUUCAGUGCUAUACAUUUUUCACUAAGUAUUGUCUUGCUGUAUCCCACAAAUUUUGGUUUUAUUUUCAUUUUAAUUCAGUUGAAAAUAUUUAAUCUCCAAAUAUUUUUGGAUUUUUUUCCAGCUAUCUUUCUGCCCUUUGUUUACAGAUUUCUAGUUUAAUUCCAUUGUAGUCUAAAAGCUUACUUUGUAUGAUGUCUGCUUUCUUUUUGGUGGUGCUGGGGAUUGAACCUGAAUGUCUUACUUUCUUGUUGCUGAGACACAAUACCUGACACCUGCAAAUUAGAGGAGAGAUUUAUUUCAGUUCACAGUUUGUAGGGGUUACAGUCCAUAGUUAGCUGGCUCCAAGGCAAGAUGGCAUGGCAGAGGGACAUGGCAGAGAAUAGCUCAGGGCAUGGCAGAUGGGAAGCUGAGUGAGAUCAAGAGAGGAGGGAGGGAGAUAAAACCUUCCAAGCCAUAUCCCCAGUGACUCACCUCCUCCAACCAGGCUUUACCUCUCAACAUCAUAUUUAGCUAUAAACCCAUGAGUGGACUAAUUCACUGAUGAGUAUCACACCCCCAUGAUCCAGUCACCAUUGAAAGACCCACCUAUGAGCAUAUGAGGCUUUGGGGAACAACUAGAUAUAAAACAUAAUACCAGGGCUUAUGAGGAUGCUAGGCACACACUAUACCACUGAGAUACAACCUCUGCCCUGAAGCCUAAUCUUUUUAAAUUUGUUAAGGUGUAUUUUAUGACUCAGAAUAUGGUCUUUCUUGGUGAAAGCUCCUUAUGAACUUGAAAAGAAUAUUUACUCUGCUGUGUUGGAGAUUAAAACAUUCUAUAAAGUUAGUUAGAUCCAGUUGAUUAAUGGUGUUAACAGGUCUAUAAUAUCAUUAAUUUUUUGCUUUUAUAAAUUUUUACUUCAUGAACUUGACACUAUUGUUAGGUGCAUAGAUGUAAGGAUAGUUACAUUGUUUUGAACAAUUAACCCUCUGUUAUUAUAUGAUGCUGUUUUUUAUUGCUGAUAAAUUUUCUUGCUUUGAAGUCUGGUCUGUCUGAAAUUAAUAUACCUAUUCCAGCUUUCUUGUGAUUAGUUUUACCAUGGCAUAUCUUUAUCCACACCUUUCUUUUUCAUUUGUAUAAAUCUUUAUGUAGGAC
Heterocephalus glaber (naked mole-rat) is the source of this 5908-nucleotide long non-coding RNA. Lineage: Eukaryota; Metazoa; Chordata; Mammalia; Rodentia; Bathyergidae. The record is from Ensembl.